GACAUUUGUUUAAGAUACUUGCUGUAUUUUUUUAAAAUAAUGACUCUUUAUGGCGAGGCUGUUCUUUAUGAAAUCCUUCUUUUGUUCCCAAGAUACAUACCAACAGAAAGGUCACACUUGAAAAGGCUGUUAUGCAUACUUGAACAACAACAAGUAGUUCUAAGAUCUAAACUGGGCAGUGAUUAAAUAGACAUCAAAUCUACAAAAUCUAUACAAUAUACAUAGAACAGAAGGUUAUGCUGGCUGACCUAAGUGGCCACUUGAACUCAAGUCUCCCGUAAAAAUUAACUGUAUUAUCACCCAGAAGAAAAACAUGUGAAAGCGCUUAGAACCAGUUAUGUUUGAUCCGCUGUCCGCAGCUAUUACAACUACAGCAGGCUGCUCUCUGGUUAUACCAACAUCAUCUUGAUUGAGAGUUGUGUAAGAGUACCCAGCAGUAUUACAGUACAGAAAGAAGCAAAAAGAAAGAAAGAAAGAAGUCAGCCAACCUAGCAGCCAAAUAAAAUCACUGCUUAUCACACUGGUAACUGCAGUAGCUGCUUUUGAAUAUUCAGUUCUAUGGGUCUAGUUCUCAAACAUGUCAGUCUCUAAGCAAUUAUUGCUAUUUCUAUUGCAACACGGAAGAAAUAGUUGGGAAGCAAAAAUGCUGCUUUAAUCUAAUGGGUGCUCACUGCGGUUUGCUAAUAAAUUAUUGGGUUUAUUGCUACAUCUGCAAGAUAAACUUAUCCUUCCCGAAUACAAUGGAGGACACCAACCAAAAUGAAGACAAUCUCAGUAGACAGAAAAAUAAUUCAAGGGAGUCUAAACCAGAAUACCUUAACAGUAUGGAAAGGCAUGUGAUAAUGACUGUGUGUGAAUCAAGAUCACAGAACUGCAUGCAAGUCUAAAGCGUCUGUGUGGUCACUCAUGCUCCCUACUUACACAGGGUUUAUUUACAUUCAGUGAGUAGAAAGUCCUGCACAGUGUUUUAGGAUGCAAUUAAGCACAUCUCAGUGAAAUCAAGGCAACUUCUUACAUUGAAAGCUGAACCUAUGUACAAACUUAAUUGCACUGGUAAAGUACGAAACAAAGAUUGCUCAAUAACACCCUUUCUCCGUGGUCUCAGCAGGCUCAGCCUGAGCUCUGCAAUGGCAUAGCCUCAAUGCUGACCACAACCAACAGUGGGUUUGGAGGGAGUUAUGCCACUGGAAGAAGGGGGAAGAAGCAGCAGGAAUGAAGCUGACUCCAAAAUGACAUCGCUGUACUGGACUGGAACUACAGUCUUCAGUAAAAUUACUGAAAAAGACAAGCACAAAAUAACGAAGUAUAACUUGGCAAACAAAACAUAUGCCUCUGACGUGUGGAGAUAAAACAUGUUGCAUCCUGCACAGGCAGCCAAAGGCAAACAGCAGAGAAUGCAUCGAAACCCAAGUGGGAAGGAAAGCUGGGAGCUUGUCUGCAGUCUGAGAAUGACAAUUCUGAUAGCAACAUGCAAUUGCUUCCAGCACUCCCACUAAGCUGCAAGGUGGCACCAGAGCCAGCCAGGAUGGAUCCUGCCUUGCAGUUCUUUGUAGCACGGCCAGGCAGGGAUUAGCCCUCUCUCUUGCCAUAAGGCUUAGAGUUAUUACAUCUAAAAUUCAGCGCUAAAUAUGCAAUUAUUAUACAAUAUAUACAAUAAUAUACAACUGCAGUUGUAGUUUGCAAACUACCUUUGAGCUGAUUUAGAAGUAUUUAAGGAGGCAAUAAUCCUUUUUGUAAAGAUCUCUAUUAACACAACUAUUUAGCUGUAGUGUAGGGUUUUUUUUAAAUCUUGUUCUCUAAUUUAGGUAUAUUCUGGCUCUGAAAUGGUAUCGUUAGCAAUCUGAAAAUGGAGCAACGGCUAAACGCUUAGAAGUCAGUACUGACACACAUAUAAGGAAAUGUAGCUCAGAUAAUUGCUGUAUGUCUGCAUAAGGCUGUGGUACUGUCCAGAAUGGUAUCAUUUCACUGUUAGUCCAUGCAAACAAAGCCAAAAAAGAAAAAUGUGAAAAAAUGACUUUCAAGCAGGAUUUAUAGCUGACCAUUUCUGAGUAAUUACAAGAAUGACAGCAUUAACAGACUCCAAUUCAAAUACCUUUGUUAUAUUAUCCUGCCAGGUGCAUUUCAGCUGCCAUUUUUGUUGUGUUUUUUUUUUUGUUCAAUAAGCUCUAAGCCUACUCAGUGUAAAAAGAAAUUAAAAUCCUCACCACAUCAUGGUUUCAGAUCCAGAUCAUAGGAGAAUCUUAAGAUGAGAACUGAAUGAAUUCCUCCAAAGUAUGUUUGCUAAAUAUUAAUAAGAAUAAUCUAACACACAUGCACAUAUAGCACCCAGAUCCUCUAGCAUUUCAUUUGCAUGACAUUCAGUUUUAAUGCAUAAGUUGCCAGCUACUCAAAUGAGGGGUUUAUAUACACAGCUUAAGCACUAUUGUAAUCUUUUAUAAAAGAACAUUAGCAUUUUCUUUUGCAAAGAGAUAGUUAUUGGCACUAGCUAAGGCACUAGUUUAUCUUGGACCAACAGCAAAACAUAUAUAAAACACAAGCAUGGCUACAGCAAUUAAUGACAUUUGCAGAAAUUUAAUGGUUGGAACUGAGACUGGAGAAUGCAGCAAGGCCAGGAAGUGAACCUGCAGUGCAACCUUUCUCAAUAAAAAAAGUUGCUCACCUUUCAAUUGUUUGUUCAGUUUUCCCAAGGAGGUGGAAAUCACAUCAGAGAUGGAUCUACCACAUGGGCUAUGGCAACUACUUGCACUUGCUAUGAUAGUUUCAUGACAAGACAACUCCUCCCCCCAUUCUCCCAAAGACAAGUUUCAUCCGUGAGGUUAACAAUGACGUGAACACAAAAAGAUACUGACUUAUAUAAGCCUUCACUGCAUGCCUGGAGCACAUAUGCAAAGUAAGAGCUAAACUCUGAGCGCCAAUAACAAUAGAGGUAGACUGGUAUUUUUCACUUUAAAAACACACAGUUAGCUCUCACUAUUCAAGCUAGUAGUCUUUCACUAGAUAGCCUAGUCCUACUAUAAUUAGUAUUUCAUAAGCAAAACCUUACAAGAGGCAACUAACUGCCUCCGCAAUACAUACAGAUAUGAGAAAAGUUACAUCACUUAAAAUAGACAAAGGUGGGAGUGGUUUUUUUUGUUUUGUUUUUUAACAAAACUAAGCUAAGCACAGUUCUUUUUUUCUUCUCUCCUUUGGAGAAGAGUAGCUGUUCCCACCCACAGUAAGGGUGGCUGGAAAUGGCAGAGAAAGGAGUCACACUGAAAUAGCUGUUGAGGUUCCCUGUCCCAAUGGGAAGGAGAAACUCACAAGGCUGCCUAUCCAUCUAAAAGUCUCUGGAUCUGUAGAUUUGGGGCCCAGGACUUUCAGAGGAUGAUGCUGACCACCAGUAUCACUUACCAUGACGCAUUAUACACCCAUCUGAUUUUGCAAAGUUCAAUCUGACACUGCCAGAUCUUAGUGGAAUUUUCAAAGGAAAAACUGUUCUAGAUCACAGAACUGUAAGGCAGCACAGUACAAAUCUUCAGUAAAUGUUACCUAUGGAUUUUAUGAAGGUAAAAAUCUUUGCUUCUGCUUAAAAACCUAAGUUCAAUUUAUAUUCAUGUCCUGAGUGGGUAAAUUAGAAACAGAAAUUUGUAAAAAAAAAUUAAAAAAUAAAAAAAAUUCAAGCAAUGCAUCAGUGAAGGAGAAAUCCAAGAUCCAGCACCAUGCUAUUCAUGCAGCACGUUAAGUUUUAAUGUGUAAACACAAGAAGAAACCACUCACUUUGACAACUACAAAGUAAUUUUCUAAGGGAAGUAACUACCCUUCAAAUGAAAGGGUAUUUUGUCCCAUUUAAUACUAUGCUGUUACCCGUUUAAGUCCUACUUUAGUUUAACCAUGCUGUCUCGCACAUACGUGAUAGAUGUGUCAUUAGAGGUGCUUUUUUUUGGUGCUAAUUGCUCUAUUCACAUAUUUUUCCUUCUACUUUAAUAAUGACUGCAUGUGGUACUGCUUUGUAAAAGACUAUAUCUUAAUCUUAGCUUUAAACUGGAGCACUUGAUGUUAUCUCAGACAACACUAAACAAGCUGGCACAGGAAUGCAGGACAUAAGAGGCACAUGCCUACUGCACUAUAGGGCUUCAGGACUUGAAUAGACUACAGUAAAAUCAAAUAGUUGGAAAAGAAUGUAUUCCAUUAUUACCAAGUUUACUGUAUUGGGUCCCCACAGUGUGUCUUUUUGUAUAUACUGAAUUUGGUCAAAAAGAUCACUGACUAGGAAAUGAGUUAAUGAGUCUCUUAGAGGGCGACAAUCUCUUUGAAAUUGUUACCCUUUGAUAAGGGCAACAGUCUGAAGGAGCGGUCAGGCAUUGGAACAAGCUGUCCAGGAGAGCAGUGGAGCCACCAUUCCUGGAGGUGUUCAAGGAAAUGACAGAUGUAGUAAUCAGGACAUGGUUCAAUGGGCAAUAUUGGUGGCAGGUGGGUGGUUGGAGUAGAUGAUCUUCGACAUCUUUUCUAACCUUAGUGAUUCUACCAUUCUAUAAUCAGAGUCUGCAUUUCUAUUCCCAUGGUACUGCCUGGAAAACCUGUAUUCUUAAAUAAACCAAAAUAAAAAAGGAUCAAAUUUUUGGUCAGUGCCAAAUAAAUGCUCACCAACAUCAACCAGACAGCAAUAAUAAGUUUGGUAUACUGCAAGAUAAAAAAAACCAACAACAACAAAAUCAGUUAACUUAGACUGCUAAAUGCCAGUUUUCGAACUUCUCAGUAUUUACGUUUAGCUACUUCACGGAAAAAAAUGAACAGCACAGAUACCAAAGUUCAGACUUAAAAUCUCCAUAUUAUCCUUCGUCAGUGAGGUGAAAAUGAAAUAAUCCGUCUUCCUUUAAAAACAAUGGAAGUAAAAUCAAGUAUAAUGAAAGCACAUCAAGAAACAAACUGUACAAUCUCUGAACUGCACUGUUUAUUUUGCUGCUUGAAACCUAAGUGACAGUAUGCCACUAAUUAUGGGGUUUCUUCUAAACCUUUACUACACUGCAGGUACAGAAAUAUACGGACACAUUUUUGGAGAAUUGACAUUUUUUCAAAAUGCAGCAAACAUUUCAAUUUAUACAUGAGAAAAGGAAGUGUUCAAAAGGGUAUGCAUUUCAAGUUAUUGCAGGUUAUUUCUGUGAGAAUUUCUGCAA
Molecule: long non-coding RNA, 5153 nt
Organism: Coturnix japonica (Japanese quail)
Lineage: Eukaryota; Metazoa; Chordata; Aves; Galliformes; Phasianidae
Source: RefSeq, a predicted model, not a curated record